RNAcentral lists this transfer RNA (84 nucleotides) under Myxococcales bacterium. RNAcentral's name for it is "tRNA-Tyr". It matches the Rfam family "tRNA". Rfam says of the family: Transfer RNA (tRNA) molecules are approximately 80 nucleotides in length. Their secondary structure includes four short double-helical elements and three loops (D, anti-codon, and T loops). Further hydrogen bonds mediate the characteristic L-shaped molecular structure. tRNAs have two regions of fundamental functional importance: the anti-codon, which is responsible for specific mRNA codon recognition, and the 3' end, to which the tRNAs corresponding amino acid is attached (by aminoacyl-tRNA synthetases). tRNAs cope with the degeneracy of the genetic code in two manners: having more than one tRNA (with a specific anti-codon) for a particular amino acid; and 'wobble' base-pairing, i.e. permitting non-standard base-pairing at the 3rd anti-codon position. The record is from RNAcentral. Lineage: Bacteria; Pseudomonadati; Myxococcota; Myxococcia; Myxococcales.
GGAGCGGCCGGCGCACGUGGCGAGCCCAUCUGGCUGUAAUCCAGACGCCGAGAGGCUGUGGGGGUUCGACUCCCUCCCGCUCCC